Cercocebus atys (sooty mangabey) is the source of this 353-nucleotide long non-coding RNA. RefSeq lists it as uncharacterized. The record is from RefSeq and is a predicted model, not a curated record. The transcript is spliced from 3 exons. Lineage: Eukaryota; Metazoa; Chordata; Mammalia; Primates; Cercopithecidae.
CAGGCUGGAGUGCAGUGGUGUGAUCAAGGCUCACUGCAGCUGCAGCUUCGACUUCUCAAGCUCGAGGGAUCCUCCUACUUCAGCCUCCUGAGUAGCUGGGACCACAGAUAUGGAAGUUCCUUGAAGACGGGCAGAACCUCACUUCCAACACCCAGGGCACAGCACUCAGAUGACCACAGGAGAGAGGCUGGUCAAGAUUGGUGCUAGAAGUCAGAGAAUAGCCACAUUCAUCUUUGCCCUUCCUGGCUUUGGAGGAACUUAGAGCCCUUCCUCAAGGUACUGUGUAAGCCACUGAAGAAACACAAGAUGGACUCAGGUGACGCAAAGACAAAUGUCUUACUUUUUUUUUUUUU